Molecule: long non-coding RNA, 238 nt
Filed under: Olea europaea (common olive)
Lineage: Eukaryota; Viridiplantae; Streptophyta; Magnoliopsida; Lamiales; Oleaceae
Description: long non-coding RNA (OEUR_LNC008715)
Source: RNAcentral
UAGCUUUACCUCUUUCAAUAAAAAACAUAAUGACAAUUUAUUAAUAAUUAAAUAAAAAAGCCAAAAAUCAAACACAAAAUCAACUAUCCACAACCAUCCCCUUCUUCCCCAACCUCCUUGCCCCAAAACCACCAGUGGCAAAGUAGAUACCAGAACCGCCUAUCCCAUCCCAGUGUCAUUGCUCCUUCCACCCACAAACCAUCCACUAACGGAAUACACACUCUAAACUUGCAUACAG